GAGUUUGAUCAUGGCUCAGAAUCAACGCUGGCGGCGUGCCUAACACAUGCAAGUCGAACGAGAAAGUGGAGCAAUCCAUGAGUAAAGUGGGCGACCGGGUGAGUAACACGUGACCAAUCUACCCUUGAGUGGGGGAUAACCUCGGGAAACCGGGGCUAAUACCGCAUAACAUCUUCGGGACGGAAGUGCUGAAGAUCAAAGGAGCAAUUCGCUUAAGGAGGAGGUCGCGGCUGAUUAGCUAGUUGGCGGGGUAAUGGCCCACCAAGGCAGAGAUCGGUAGCCGGCCUGAGAGGGCGCACGGCCACACUGGAACUGAAACACGGUCCAGACUCCUACGGGAGGCAGCAGUGGGGAAUUUUGCGCAAUGGGGGAAACCCUGACGCAGCAACGCCGCGUGGAGGAUGAAGUCCCUUGGGACGUAAACUCCUUUCGACCCGGACGAUAAUGACGGUACGGGUGGAAGAAGCCCGGCUAACUUCGUGCCAGCAGCCGCUGU
RNAcentral lists this ribosomal RNA (496 nucleotides) under uncultured bacterium. RNAcentral describes it as "bacterial SSU rRNA". It matches the Rfam family "Bacterial small subunit ribosomal RNA", at positions 9 to 521 of the family's 1533-position model. The record is from RNAcentral.